RNAcentral lists this ribosomal RNA (433 nucleotides) under uncultured bacterium. RNAcentral's name for it is "partial 16S ribosomal RNA". It matches the Rfam family "Bacterial small subunit ribosomal RNA", at positions 29 to 507 of the family's 1533-position model. The record is from RNAcentral.
AACGAACGCUGGCGGCAUGCCUAACACAUGCCAGUCGAACGAGACCUUCGGGUCUAGUGGCGCACGGGUGCGUAACGCGUGGGAACCUGCCCUUAGGUUCGGAAUAACUCCCCGAAAGGGGUGCUAAUACCGGAUAAUGUCUUCGGACCAAAGAUUUAUCGCCUUUGGAUGGGCCCGCGUUGGAUUAGCUAGUUGGUAGGGUAAAAGCCUAGCAAGGCGACGAUCCAUAGCUGGUCUGAGAGGAUGAUCAGCCACACUGGGACUGAGACACGGCCCAGACUCCUACGGGAGGCAGCAGUGGGGAAUAUUGGACAAUGGGCGAAAGCCUGAUCCAGCAAUGCCGCGUGAGUGAUGAAGGCCUUAGGGUUGUAAAGCUCUUUUACCCGGGAUGAUAAUGACAGUACCGGGAGAAUAAGCUCCGGCUAACUCCGUG